ACAUGCCUACAACAUAGCGUUAAUGCAUCGGAUCCAAUUAGAACUCCGCAUUUAAGCAUGCUCGGGCUAGAGUAGUAUUGGGAUGGUUGAUCGUCCAAGAAUUCCCAGUGUUUUACAUGCC
Molecule: non-coding RNA, 121 nt
Organism: Picea glauca (white spruce)
Lineage: Eukaryota; Viridiplantae; Streptophyta; Pinopsida; Pinales; Pinaceae
Source: Rfam